RNAcentral lists this unclassified non-coding RNA (377 nucleotides) under plant metagenome. RNAcentral's name for it is "partial contains 5.8S ribosomal RNA, internal transcribed spacer 2, and large subunit ribosomal RNA". The stretch from base 1 to 105 matches the Rfam family "5.8S ribosomal RNA", at positions 50 to 154 of the family's 154-position model. The record is from RNAcentral.
GAAAUGCGAUAAGUAAUGUGAAUUGCAGAAUUCAGUGAAUCAUCGAAUCUUUGAACGCACCUUGCGCUCCUUGGUAUUCCUUGGAGCAUGCCUGUUUGAGUAUCAUGAAAUCUUCAAAGUAAUCUUUUGUUAACUCAAUUGGUUUCUACUUUGGUAUUGGAGGUCUUUGCAGCUUCACACCUGCUCCUCUUUGUUCAUUAGCUGGAUCUCAGUGUUAUGCUUGGUUCCACUCGGCGUGAUAAGUUAUCUAUCGCUGAGGACACUGUAAAAGGUGGCCAAGGUAAAUGCAGAUGAACCGCUUCUAAUAGUCCAUUGACUUGGACAAUACUUUUAUGAUCUGAUCUCAAAUCAGGUAGGACUACCCGCUGAACUUAAGC